This is a non-coding RNA of Cinara cedri, 1340 nucleotides long. Lineage: Eukaryota; Metazoa; Arthropoda; Insecta; Hemiptera; Aphididae. The record is from the annotation of a GenBank genome assembly.
UAUAAAUUCUUAACAAUAAUUUAGAUUCAGCUUUACAUUAUGCACGCAAACAAGAGAAAACACAUUAUUGAGUAAAACCCGUUGAUUUAUUUUUUUAUGGGCUAUUUUUUUAUUAAAAUAAAUUUAAGUUAAUAUGAUAUCCAAGUAGGAAAGGUAAGAUCUAUGGAAGAUCUCGAGGAAUACAAAGCGAUCAAUGGAGUUAAUAAUGGUUAUUAAUAAUUAAUAAAUUUGAAUCUUGCAAAAUUGAGGCAGCUGGCUAGUUGAUGAAAUAUAGUUAGGUAGAUAGUUGAUGGUGGAGAUUUAGUCAUUAACAGACGAUGACAAAGCUACUGAAUUUUAAUAUACAUUCUUAAAAUCACGAAAGGAAUGUUUAUCAUCGAGCAUAAUAUAGAGAAUAAGAACUUGGUAUUUCCAUGAGAAUGAAGAAUGAUAGGACGCAUGUAAAAGCACGGAAUGUAUUUGUACGGAAUAUUGGUUUCCAACAUUUUUUUUUAAAACUGUAUUUAUGCGGAUUACAUGUUUCCGGAAUGUAUAUACUCGGAUUGUAUUUUUCCACAAACAAAAAAAUUUGUGAACUAUAUUCACGGACCGUGAAACACCGGAAUUGAAAAAUGUGCAAAACGUAUUUGUACGUAUUAUUUGUUCUCGGAUUGUUAAUGCUUGGACUGUAUAUUGUCGGAAAAUAAAUUAUUAAUCACGAACCGUAUUACCUCGGGAAUCUUGGAAAACGUUUGAACCAUUUUUGCAUUCUCGGACAUACUCAACCGGGUGCGUAAAACCAAACCAACAAUUACAAGAUCGUUUGAAAAUCAAAAGUAUUUUUUUCGACUGCGUAAAUAUUAAAUAAGGGCGACUAAAAGAAUGGCAAUUCAACUCAUUAGAGCUACUAAUUUCUUGAGUUGUCAAAGAAAAAAAAAAUCUUAAUCAAGUCAAUAUUUUCCGAGUUAAUGAGUGUUUUAUAGAUUCUAUUAUUAAAUAAUACAGACAGUCUGUAUAGGUAAUAAGCGACUGGGACUAACAACGGUACGCGUUAAUACUUAUAUUUUUUCCAUGAAAUCCGAUUCUUGAUUACGGAUUGGAAAAAUCGGUUUUCCGCAAUUAUACGGUCCAUGACUAUACUUUUUUUCCCCGAAAACAUACAAUCCGGGUUUAUAAGGUUUCCGGUAAAAUAUGGUCUGAGUGUUUACAAUCCGGAAACAAACAUUCUGUAUAAAUACGUUUUGCGUAUUUUUCGAUUCCAGGUUUUUGCGGUCCGUGACUACACGGUUCACAAAUUUUCUUUUUCCGCAGUUCUGCAUUCCGUAAAAAUACAAUUUUAUUCCGAAAUUAUGCAAUCCGAG